GAUUAUUUGUUCUGGGAGAUAGGUCAAUACUAAGUGGGCUGGAUAAGCACAUAAGACGCUGGGUUCAGGGUAGUUUAAUGACAGCCAGACAGAUUAUUUUAAGGGGAUGAAAGAAUGAAGGGGUGCUGUCAAUCCAGUAGUGGGCUUGUGAGAUGGCUAGGUUGGCGGCAUUUGAAAAAAUGUCAUAUAAACGGUUUGCCAGAUUGGAUGUUUACACUAGAAGAUGG
Etheostoma cragini (Arkansas darter) is the source of this 227-nucleotide long non-coding RNA. RefSeq lists it as uncharacterized. The record is from RefSeq and is a predicted model, not a curated record. The transcript is spliced from 3 exons. NCBI's taxonomy places the organism in Eukaryota, Metazoa, Chordata, Actinopteri, Perciformes, Percidae.